This is a long non-coding RNA of Mustela erminea (ermine), 337 nucleotides long. RefSeq lists it as uncharacterized. The record is from RefSeq and is a predicted model, not a curated record. NCBI's taxonomy places the organism in Eukaryota, Metazoa, Chordata, Mammalia, Carnivora, Mustelidae. The transcript is spliced from 3 exons.
CUAACCGUUGAUCUGGAGUCCACAUUCUGCAUGGCUGGACUAAGUGAAUACACGUGCUAUCAACACUGGCAAAGGAUUUAUCCUUCUGCCAUGUCUAGGCCAAAAGUAAAGGCCCAGGAGUACGAGCAGUGCAGAGAGCUCACCAGCCUAAGCCAGGUGUUACCAAGAACAAGUCACAAUGGGCCUGUGCGUCCUCUACAGACUCCGGGAGGGGACUUUGCCUCCACUGCUGAGAGACCAAAGCCUCACCUGUUCUAAGUGACAUUCUGCAGCUCGUGUCCCAGCAGUACUACAAUGCCUGAGCUCCAGCAAGCUGCCUGGAUGGUCAGUCCAUUUA